This 71-nucleotide transfer RNA is filed under the name Nanobdellota archaeon. RNAcentral's name for it is "tRNA-Gly". It matches the Rfam family "tRNA". Rfam says of the family: Transfer RNA (tRNA) molecules are approximately 80 nucleotides in length. Their secondary structure includes four short double-helical elements and three loops (D, anti-codon, and T loops). Lineage: Archaea; Nanobdellati; Nanobdellota. The record is from RNAcentral.
GCGCUGGUGGUCUAACGGUAGAAUAUCUGCCUUCCAAGCAGAUGACCCGGGUUCAACUCCCGGCCGGCGCA